GCUAGCAGCUUAGAACUUUUAAAGGAGGCAAAGGCAGAGGAGAACAAAGGAAGGAGGAAGUAACUGGUGGAAUGCUGAGAAAGCAUUUCAGUGUGCGGCAUCAUCAUGCAAGCUCUGUAAGAGGAGAGUAAGAUCAGUACUCCUACUUGUAAAUGAAAGAGAAGAAAACAAAAACAAGCAAAUUCCUUCUAAGGUGUGAGGAACACGAGUAAACAGAGAAAUCACCUAAGGAGAAAACAGGAAGCAGAUUUGAAACUGUGGCCACCAACGACACGAGGGAGCGCAAAACCCAGCCCACUUGCCAGGGAGGCUGGCAGAGCCCACACCCAGUCUGGUGCCCUGGUCGGUUACAUUCUGCUUUUUGAAGCAGCGUUCAAAAUCAGUUGUGGAUCAAGUCAAGAUGAACUCUGAAACAAUACUUUAAAUACCCCUGGAUGAUUUUGAAGCUCCCUGCAGCAUUUUUAGAAGGUACCAAAUAAGAAAAACGUGGAUGAAGAUGGAGAAAGCAUACAAAACUUUUACACACUGGUUUGAAGCUGUCACCGCGCGGAACAUAAAGAACAGGCCAAGACCAGUGCAGGCAUCGACGACUUUCUCCAUUCAGAGCCUCCGCGCAUCCCAAAUAAAUAAACACAUCAAAACGUGCAAA
RNAcentral lists this long non-coding RNA (649 nucleotides) under Homo sapiens (human). Its description in RNAcentral is "long independently transcribed non-coding RNA 2662, transcript variant 2 (LINC02662)". Lineage: Eukaryota; Metazoa; Chordata; Mammalia; Primates; Hominidae. The record is from RNAcentral.